AGGGUUCGAUCAUGGCUCAGGAUGAACGCUAGCGGCAGGCUUAACACAUGCAAGUCGAGGGGUAACAGGGAUUGCUUGCAAUCCGCUGACGACCGGCGCACGGGUGCGUAACGCGUAUGCAACCUACCUUCUACAAGAGGAUAGCCCAGAGAAAUUUGGAUUAAUACUCUAUACGAUCAUUAACUGGCAUCAGUCAAUGAAGAAAACUCCGGUGGUAGAAGAUGGGCAUGCGUCCUAUUAGUUAGUUGGUAAGGUAAUGGCUUACCAAGACUUCGAUAGGUAGGGGUCCUGAGAGGGAGAUCCCCCACACUGGUACUGAGACACGGACCAGACUCCUACGGGAGGCAGCAGUGAGGAAUAUUGGACAAUGGAGGCAACUCUGAUCCAGCCAUGCCGCGUGCAGGAAGACGGCCCUACGGGUUGUAAACUGCUUUUAUACAGGAAGAACUAUGCCUACGUGUAGGCAUUUGACGGUACUGUACGAAUAAGGAUCGGCUAACUCCGUGCCAGCCGCCGCGGUAAUA
RNAcentral lists this ribosomal RNA (524 nucleotides) under uncultured bacterium. RNAcentral's name for it is "bacterial SSU rRNA". It matches the Rfam family "Bacterial small subunit ribosomal RNA", at positions 8 to 525 of the family's 1533-position model. The record is from RNAcentral.